RNAcentral lists this ribosomal RNA (497 nucleotides) under uncultured bacterium. Its description in RNAcentral is "partial 16S ribosomal RNA". It matches the Rfam family "Bacterial small subunit ribosomal RNA", at positions 28 to 507 of the family's 1533-position model. The record is from RNAcentral.
GAUGAACGCUGGCGGCGUGCCUAAUACAUGCAAGUCGAGCGAACAGACGAGGAGCUUGCUCCUUUGACGUUAGCGGCGGACGGGUGAGUAACACGUGGAUAACCUACCUAUAAGACUGGGAUAACUUCGGGAAACCGGAGCUAAUACCGGAUAACAUGUUGAACCGCAUGGUUCAACAGUGAAAGACGGUCUUGCUGUCACUUAUAGAUGGAUCCGCGCCGCAUUAGCUAGUUGGUAAGGUAACGGCUUACCAAGGCAACGAUGCGUAGCCGACCUGAGAGGGUGAUCGGCCACACUGGAACUGAGACACGGUCCAGACUCCUACGGGAGGCAGCAGUAGGGAAUCUUCCGCAAUGGGCGAAAGCCUGACGGAGCAACUCCGCGUGAGUGAAGAAGGUCUUCGGAUCGUAAAACUCUGUUAUUAGGGAAGAACAAAUGUGUAAGUAACUAUGCACGUCUUGACGGUACCUAAUCAGAAAGCCACGGCUAACUACGUG